GCUUCCACUCCGGGGUGUCGCGGCGUCUGCAACAGGCCACGCGGCUGAGAUGGCGCAGCGCCAAACCCGUUCAACUUGAUCCGGCUCAUACCGGCGUAAGGAGAAGAGGGCAUUUCAUCC
Molecule: non-coding RNA, 120 nt
Filed under: Ottowia sp.
Lineage: Bacteria; Pseudomonadati; Pseudomonadota; Betaproteobacteria; Burkholderiales; Comamonadaceae
Description: TPP sequence
Rfam family: TPP riboswitch aptamer (THI element)
About the family: Vitamin B(1) in its active form thiamin pyrophosphate (TPP) is an essential coenzyme that is synthesised by coupling of pyrimidine and thiazole moieties in bacteria. The previously detected thiamin-regulatory element, thi box was extended, resulting in a new, highly conserved RNA secondary structure, the THI element, which is widely distributed in eubacteria and also occurs in some archaea.
Source: RNAcentral